CAAGUCGAACGAAGGCUUCGGCCUUAGUGGCGCACGGGUGCGUAACGCGUGGGAAUCUGCCCCUUGGUUCGGAAUAACAGUUAGAAAUGACUGCUAAUACCGGAUGACGACGUAAGUCCAAAGAUUUAUCGCCGAGGGAUGAGCCCGCGUAGGAUUAGCUAGUUGGUGUGGUAAAGGCGCACCAAGGCGACGAUCCUUAGCUGGUCUGAGAGGAUGAUCAGCCACACUGGGACUGAGACACGGCCCAGACUCCUACGGGAGGCAGCAGUGGGGAAUAUUGGACAAUGGGCGAAAGCCUGAUCCAGCAAUGCCGCGUGAGUGAUGAAGGCCUUAGGGUUGUAAAGCUCUUUUACCCGGGAUGAUAAUGACAGUACCGGGAGAAUAAGCUCCGGCUAACUCCGUGCCAGCAGCCGCGGUAAUACGGAGGGAGCUAGCGUUAUUCGGAAUUACUGGGCGUAAAGCGCACGUAGGCGGCUUUGUAAGUAAGAGGUGAAAGCCCAGAGCUCAACUCUGGAAUUGCCUUUUAGACUGCAUCGCUUGAAUCAUGGAGAGGUCAGUGGAAUUCCGAGUGUAGAGGUGAAAUUCGUAGAUAUUCGGAAAACCCCGUGGCCGAAGGGCGGCUGACUGGACAUGUAUUGGCCCCUAA
Molecule: ribosomal RNA, 646 nt
Filed under: Sphingobacterium sp. Muzt-I02
Lineage: Bacteria; Pseudomonadati; Bacteroidota; Sphingobacteriia; Sphingobacteriales; Sphingobacteriaceae
Description: bacterial SSU rRNA
Rfam family: Bacterial small subunit ribosomal RNA
Source: RNAcentral